Molecule: long non-coding RNA, 2264 nt
Organism: Symphalangus syndactylus (siamang)
Lineage: Eukaryota; Metazoa; Chordata; Mammalia; Primates; Hylobatidae
Source: RefSeq, a predicted model, not a curated record
AGUUCGAGCUUCCUGGCUGCUUUGUUUACCUCAGCAAUCCUGGGCAAUGGCGGGCGCCCCUCCCCGAGCCUCGCUGCAGCCUUGCAGCGUGAUCUCAGACUGCUGUGCUAGCAAUCAGCGAGACUCCGUGGGCAUAGGACCCUCCGAGCCAGGUGAAUAAAUAAAGUGACACUGAAAUAAAUUAUUUUUCCUGCUGGCCAAGAACAGAGUCAACCUUCCUUAAUAAGCUAUCAGAAUAUUCUGAAGAGAAGAAUUUGAUCUUUCUACUCUACUGAAUGAUUCACAUAUAUCACCUUGGGCAUCCCUUUUGGGGGAAACUUCACAGAGUAGACGUCGUCCUGGAAUGUGUGAGUGCACCUGGCUGAGAAUGGGGAUGGAAGAACAGAAACAAGUACCCGGAGCCAAGAAGAAAGGCUGAAUACGGGAGGUCCCGAGCACAUAUGCAAUCACCAAAUAAAGCAGGCAAGGGUUUCUUUUUUCCUGUGGAAGCAUCGCAAAAAAGGUGAGUCCUGAGGUCAAUUUUAUAGGAGGGGAGACUUUGGCAGGAGCGUGCUAAGUCUCCGGACGAGGCAGGGAAUGUGUGAGACUAGAAAAGGUGAAUCACAUCCUGGAGAAAGUAAACAAUUGGUUUCUGUGCCCUCUAUGUCCAGGCACAUCUAAUUAAGUUUAUUCCCCUUUCCAGAAGAGGGGAAAACAUGGGGAAAAGGAGGACACCUAUGAUCUCAUAAAUCUUUCCUGCCCACCCGUUUAUACUACAGCCUUUCUCCUUGGCUCCAGUUCAACUUCUCAGAUGUCCUCUAGUGGUUGGUGCUCCUGCUCAUAUCACACCAGGUAUCUGGCAAAUAAAUAAAUGUACCGAUCCUACUUGAGAAGAGAUAACGCUGUCACUGUACUUACAUCCUGGUUUGUCAGAUUUCAUGAACAGAGCAAAAUAUUGCUUCCCUCGCUUGUAUAUUGUAUGCUCUGAAGAAUGAAAACUCACAGAUAGCCAAGGAGAGAGAACUUUCCCGAUCUGUUUUGAAGUUUUGGAACUUUUAGUUGCUACAAUGUAAUCCCAGCUACUCCGGAGGCUGAGGCAGCAGAACCGCUGGAACCUGGGAGGCAGAGGUUGCAGUGAACCGAGAUCGCGCCAUUGCACUCCAGCCUGGGCGACAAGAGCAAAACUCCAUCUAAAAACAAAAACAAAAACAAAGAAACAAAAAAACAAAAAACCAACCAACCAACCAAACAAAAAAGCACAUUGUGCUAUUUGAGUUGUUUUCACCUAGCUCCAAUGAACUGAUCCAAAUUUUGGACUCUUAGGGUCUGAUUUUUCUUGAAUGAUAGGAUUUAAGGUUUCUUGAUGAGGAGAUCAGGUACACAUUCUUCAAAUAAUUUUUUCUAAAUUGUAAUUCUGUUAGGCUUUGAAGGAAGUUGGACUGAACUGACUGAAUGGUCAGAAUGAAGAAACCCUUUAAGAACAGGGUUCAGCAUGAUGGAGCAAUCAGAGCAGGAAGAGGAAUUUAGGAGAUAUGUUUAAAGUUAUGAGUUACGGAAAAGAUAUUAGGUUAUAAAUUGCUAAUAUGUAAAGCUUCUAAAUAUCCCUCAAUCUGCUUUUGGACUUUGUUUCUGCAUAUUAAGAUGAUGCUCCUUGAAGUAAAAAUAAAGAUAUCUUGUUAAUUUAGCUAUUGUUUAUAAAGUUGGCUUAGACUAGAUUGAAUUUUUUUCCCCAAUAAGCAUUUUCAUGAGGGCUCACUGUUUUCUGAUAUGGUCUUGCUGUGAAACUGUUUCAUGAGUCGUUUUUUUCAGCCAGAUUAUAAACGGAAUCUAUGUCCUGUGAGCAAAGUGGCUAGGAGAACUCCUCUCAAGCCAAUAUUCCAGUUAAAUGAUCCAGAUUACCAGUUAAUUGCUCUGCCCUGAUGUAACUAGCUUAUGCAUCCUCCAUGUUCCAAGACAGAAGGAAAUAGUGCAGAUAACUAUAAAUUAUCCAGUGGGUUUUGAGCCAUUUAUAUAGCUAAUCAAAUAUUGGACAUGUUUAGCAUUUACCCAAAUAUACCUGAAUUGACAAAACCCACAUCCUCAGAACAGCAUAAUUUUUCUCAUUAAGCAGCAUAUAUAGUGAUUAAUAAAUUUAAAUUAUGAAGUCAACAUGUUAAUUGCUACUGUACUUGGAUGCUUCUAAUAUAAUUUUGUUUUAUUCGAUUUAUUUUGCAUACCUUAAUGUAUUUCAUAAAGAAAACACUGGUAUAAUCAAUUUAUUAAAGAAAUAAUGUAUACAGAACAAA